GCCCGGAUGGCGAAACUGGUAGACGCAUCGGACUUAAAAUCCGCCGGGGGCAACUCCAUGCCGGUUCGAUUCCGGCUCCGGGCACCA
Molecule: transfer RNA, 87 nt
Filed under: Stenotrophomonas maltophilia
Lineage: Bacteria; Pseudomonadati; Pseudomonadota; Gammaproteobacteria; Lysobacterales; Lysobacteraceae
Also listed under: 6 other names
Description: tRNA-Leu
Rfam family: tRNA
About the family: Transfer RNA (tRNA) molecules are approximately 80 nucleotides in length.
Source: RNAcentral